Molecule: non-coding RNA, 133 nt
Organism: Paramuricea clavata
Lineage: Eukaryota; Metazoa; Cnidaria; Anthozoa; Malacalcyonacea; Plexauridae
Source: the annotation of a GenBank genome assembly
GCCAGCCCGACGAUUUAGUCCCGCUAUGCAAAUAUUUUCGUUUUCAUUGACUGUAAAAACAAUCAAUUUCUAAAGAAAUGAAUAAUGAUAAUAAUUUUGAAUAUGCAUAGCGGGACUAAAUUGUCGGGCUGGC